This 253-nucleotide ribosomal RNA is filed under the name uncultured bacterium. RNAcentral's name for it is "partial 16S ribosomal RNA". It matches the Rfam family "Bacterial small subunit ribosomal RNA", at positions 524 to 776 of the family's 1533-position model. The record is from RNAcentral.
UACGUAGGGACCAAGCGUUGUUCGGAUUUACUGGGCGUAAAGGGCGCGUAGGCGGCGUGUCAAGUCAAUUGUGAAAUCUCCGGGCUUAACUCGGAACGGUCAAUUGAUACUGAUGUGCUAGAGUGCAGAAGGGGCAAUCGGAAUUCUUGGUGUAGCGGUGAAAUGCGUAGAUAUCAAGAGGAACACCUGAGGUGAAGACGGGUUGCUGGGCUGACACUGACGCUGAGGCGCGAAAGCGUGGGGAGCAAACAGG